Molecule: transfer RNA, 72 nt
Filed under: Bacteroidota bacterium
Lineage: Bacteria; Pseudomonadati; Bacteroidota
Also listed under: 2 other names
Description: tRNA-Glu
Rfam family: tRNA
About the family: Transfer RNA (tRNA) molecules are approximately 80 nucleotides in length.
Source: RNAcentral
GCCGCGUUCGUCUAGCGGUUAGGACGCCGCCCUCUCACGGCGGUAGCACGAGUUCGAUUCUCGUACGCGGUA